CCCUUAGAUGUUCUGGGCCGCACGCGCGCUACACUGAUGCAUUCAACGAGUCCAACCUUGACCGAGAGGUCCGGGUAAUCUUUGAGACUGCAUCGUGAUGGGGCUAGAUUAUUGCAAUUAUUAAUCUUCAACGAGGAAUGCCUAGUAAGCGUGAUUCAUCAAAUCGCGUUGAUUACGUCCCUGCCCUUUGUACACACCGCCCGUCGCUCCUACCGAUUGAGUGUGUUGGUGAGGAGUUUGGAUUGGCCUCGGAAGGUGGUUCGCCACCGUCCGUAGCUGAGAAGUUCUCCAAACCGCCCCACUUAGAGGAAGGAGAAGUCGUAACA
This 326-nucleotide ribosomal RNA is filed under the name uncultured eukaryote. RNAcentral's name for it is "partial 18S ribosomal RNA". It matches the Rfam family "Eukaryotic small subunit ribosomal RNA", at positions 1470 to 1796 of the family's 1831-position model. The record is from RNAcentral.